This 209-nucleotide ribosomal RNA is filed under the name uncultured bacterium. RNAcentral describes it as "partial 16S ribosomal RNA". It matches the Rfam family "Bacterial small subunit ribosomal RNA", at positions 144 to 353 of the family's 1533-position model. The record is from RNAcentral.
UAACUACUGGAAACGGUAGCUAAUACCGCAUAAUGUCGCAAGACCAAAGAGGGGGACCUUCGGGCCUCUUGCCAUCGGAUGUGCCCAGAUGGGAUUAGCUUGUUGGUGGGGUAACGGCUCACCAAGGCGACGAUCCCUAGCUGGUCUGAGAGGAUGACCAGCCACACUGGAACUGAGACACGGUCCAGACUCCUACGGGAGGCAGCAUG